UGUAACGCAAAUCUUUCAAAAUGGGAAAGUUGGCUGUGAUAUGGAUUCUGAUUUUAUUUCUAGCUUAUAUUGAUGCAGGUAUGUAUACAAAUAUUGUUGUAGUAUAUAUUAUAUGUACAUAUAUAUUUUGUACACACACAAAAAAUAUCUAAAGUAAAUAUAAAAAAAAAUGUGGAAACGCGAUAGGACAAUUUCACUGUGUCUAAACUAUCACGGCAAAACAUGUUUGGACUCAAAAGUAUCUAAUAUCCGGUAUGGUGACGAACUACCAGUAGACAGAAAAAAAGAAGGAAUUUCUGGAUAUUAUUUUGUUAUUUUAAUGAUAUUGAAGACUAUUUAUACGCAUAUAACUAUGUUCGUUGAAAUGUAAGUUUUUCUACAAUCGAUUAUGAUCAACGGCGAAAUAAGUAAACAGGAACGUCAAAAUGUAGAUUGAGUGAACCUUGCUACGAAUUUUUUAAAUUUCUCAUUAAUUUUUGGACAUUGUACGGAAAGUAAUGUACGGAAUUAAAGGUAUAAACACAGAGAUUGCUAGAUUAGUCACGUUAAGUACAUCAAUAUUUGUAUUAAUGUGCAUGGAACGAAAGAAAUAGGUUAUGUCAAAUUCGAAGGACCCGGUUUUGUCAAUAUGUACGACCCAGUUUUGUCCUAAAUUGUCACAAAGCAUGACCCACUUUUGUCAUAGAAAAUUAUUGCAUAAUCGUUAGGAGUAGAUUAAAAUCCGUCGUUCAGAUGACAACUUAUUUUGUAUUUGAAUCCGGAAAAACUUGAGUUCCUGCUUUAUUGAAAAAGAAAUUUUUUGCUUUGUAUAAAAACAAAUAAUUUUACGGCGA
This 833-nucleotide long non-coding RNA is filed under the name Mytilus galloprovincialis (Mediterranean mussel). Lineage: Eukaryota; Metazoa; Mollusca; Bivalvia; Mytilida; Mytilidae. The record is from RNAcentral.